CGAACCACUGCGGGAGAGCCCGGCCACCUCAGGGUGAGGUCGGCGCCGAAGGAGCAACUCCUCCCCGAGAAACUCUCAGGCCGACGUACCGCGGUGGCGAG
Molecule: regulatory RNA element, 101 nt
Organism: Oerskovia sp. Root918
Lineage: Bacteria; Bacillati; Actinomycetota; Actinomycetes; Micrococcales; Cellulomonadaceae
Rfam family: Glycine riboswitch aptamer
About the family: This family represents the bacterial glycine riboswitch. Glycine riboswitches usually consist of two metabolite-binding aptamers domains with similar structures in tandem.
Source: Rfam